UGCUGUGGUUUCGGGUCUGGA
Molecule: non-coding RNA, 21 nt
Filed under: Arabidopsis thaliana (thale cress)
Lineage: Eukaryota; Viridiplantae; Streptophyta; Magnoliopsida; Brassicales; Brassicaceae
Source: RNAcentral